This 250-nucleotide ribosomal RNA is filed under the name uncultured bacterium. RNAcentral's name for it is "partial 16S ribosomal RNA". It matches the Rfam family "Bacterial small subunit ribosomal RNA", at positions 524 to 773 of the family's 1533-position model. The record is from RNAcentral.
GACGAACCACACAAACGUUAUUCGGAAUUACUGGGCUUAAAGGGUGCGUAGGCGGCGUGGAAAGUUGGGUGUGAAAUCCCUCAGCUUAACUGAGGAACAGCGCCCAAAACUACCAUGCUCGAGGGAGAUAGAGGAAUGCGGAACUUAGGGUGGAGCGGUGAAAUGCGUUGAUAUCCUAGGGAACACCGGUGGCGAAAGCGGCAUUCUGGAUCUCUUCUGACGCUGAGGCACGAAAGCUAGGGUAGCAAAC